AGCAGUCGCCGCGGGAAUACGUAGGUGGCAAGCGUUGUCCGGAAUUAUUGGGCGUAAAGCGCGCGCAGGCGGUUUCUUAAGUCUGAUGUGAAAGCCCCCGGCUUAACCGGGGAGGGUCAUUGGAAACUGGGAGACUUAGAGUGCAGAAGAGGAGAGUGGAAUUCCAUGUGUAGCGGUGAAAUGCGUAGAUAUAUGGAGGAACACCAGUGGCGAAGGCGACUCUCUGGUCUGUAACUGACGCUGAGGCGCGAAAGCGUGGGGAGCAAACAGGAUUAGAUACCCCGGUAGUCCCUGUCUCUUAUA
RNAcentral lists this ribosomal RNA (303 nucleotides) under uncultured bacterium. Its description in RNAcentral is "partial 16S ribosomal RNA". It matches the Rfam family "Bacterial small subunit ribosomal RNA", at positions 507 to 808 of the family's 1533-position model. The record is from RNAcentral.